This 253-nucleotide ribosomal RNA is filed under the name uncultured bacterium. RNAcentral's name for it is "partial 16S ribosomal RNA". It matches the Rfam family "Bacterial small subunit ribosomal RNA", at positions 524 to 776 of the family's 1533-position model. The record is from RNAcentral.
UACGUAGGGGGCGAGCGUUGUCCGGAUUUAUUGGGCGUAAAGCGCGCGCAGGCGGUUCAUUAAGUCUGGUGUGAAAGCUCCCGGCUCACCUGGGAGAGGGCACUGGAGACUGGUGGACUGGAGCGAGGCAGAGGCCGGUGGAAUUCCCGGUGUAGUGGUGAAAUGCGUAGAGAUCGGGAGGAACACCAGUGGCGAAGGCGGCCGGCUGGGCCUUGACUGACGCUGAGGCGCGACAGCGUGGGGAGCGAACAGG